UUUGCCUACGGGACGCAGCAGUGGGGAAUAUUGCACAAUGGGGGAAGCCUUGAUGCAGCGACGCCGCGUGAGUGAAGAAGUAUUUCGGUAUGUAAAGCUCUAUCAGCAGGGAAGAAAAUGACGGUACCUGACUAAGAAGCCCCGGCUAACUACGUGCCAGCAGCCGCGGUAAUACGUAGGGGGCAAGCGUUAUCCGGAUUUACUGGGUGUAAAGGGGGCGCAGACGGCGAUGCAAGCCAGGAGUGAAAGCCCGGGGCCCAACCCCGGGACUGCUCUUGGAACCGCGUGGCUGGAGUGCAGGAGGG
RNAcentral lists this ribosomal RNA (305 nucleotides) under uncultured bacterium. RNAcentral's name for it is "bacterial SSU rRNA". It matches the Rfam family "Bacterial small subunit ribosomal RNA", at positions 334 to 656 of the family's 1533-position model. The record is from RNAcentral.